Molecule: long non-coding RNA, 838 nt
Organism: Ctenopharyngodon idella (grass carp)
Lineage: Eukaryota; Metazoa; Chordata; Actinopteri; Cypriniformes; Xenocyprididae
Exons: 2
Source: RefSeq, a predicted model, not a curated record
UUCCAGAAGGAAAACUGUUUCGUCCAAUCACAGUCCUCGUUUUAAUGACUGAUUUUCCUAAGAGCCAAUGUUAGCAGCACAUUCAGAAGUCCCGCCGGCGCUGCUGCCGCCUUCAGUAUGAGCAGAGGGAGAGAGAGAGCGAGUCAGGCAAAGCAGCUGCACGGAACGAUCUCCAGAAACUCUCCACAUUGAACGAUAGAUUUAGAGAAAAGUGACCUAAAUAUAAUGAAAGGAUUGGAUUUCUGAGUGGAUGCGAUAACUUUGAGAAGCUGUCACCAGAGUGAGAAGAGGGCGAGGCAGAAAAUUAGAAAUAAAGGCCGAUGCAGACCCACGGAGCAUCAAAGCACCGCAAAUUAACUUCCUUGUUUGAGUAGGAUAUCAAAUUCUUGCUUUGGUCCUACUUGCCCCACUCUGCGCGGGCCUCGAACCUGCGUCUCCGGCGUGGGAUUCGGACGCCCUAACAAGGAGGCUAAAGGCUGCAACCUCUAGCAUCAGUCACUAGAGCAUCUCUUGAGAUCAGAGGAGUGAGGUUUACUACUAGGAUCUGCACUCUCCAUUCCUCAACCCUAUAGAAGAGUUUUUCUCGGCAUGGCGGUGGAAGGGAUAUGAUCUCCGUCUCCAGGCUGAGGUACCCCUCAUCCAAGCCAUGGAGGAGGCCUGUGACCAGAUGGAGGUAGCAGCAAUGCAAGGAUGGAUUCGUCAUUCAAGAUGUUGCUUUCCAAGGUGUCUUGCUAAUGACAACAUUGCCUGCGAUGUUGAUGAAAUUCUCUGGCCAGAUCCAGCUAGGCGAAGAGACAAUGUCUAGUUUUUUUUUUUUUUUUUUUUUUUUUACAGUAAA